This is an RNA transcript of Polyodon spathula (Mississippi paddlefish), 2070 nucleotides long. It is a transcript of the gene named E3 ubiquitin/ISG15 ligase TRIM25-like, with no coding region annotated. The transcript has 4 exons. The record is from RefSeq and is a predicted model, not a curated record. NCBI's taxonomy places the organism in Eukaryota, Metazoa, Chordata, Actinopteri, Acipenseriformes, Polyodontidae.
CCACACACUCUGAGUUUCGUUUCUAGAGUUAUCAACCUCUGCCUCUCGCAGUCUCUCUCACUGUCUUCUUUCUGUCUGCGGCUCUGGCAUUACACAAAGCCUCUGAACUAAACGUUUGUGUGUCUCAUUGGUGAUAGUGGCAGUUUCUCUGUGAUAGUGAGUUUCCAGAUAGUUUUUAGUGAUACGGUCUCUCUCUCUCUCUCUCUCUCUCUCUCUCAUCUACGUUUCUGGCAGUUCACAUAAUGGCUGAAGCAAACAUUUCCCUGUCUGAGGAGCAGUUCAGCUGCCCGGUGUGUCUGGAGAUUCUUAAAGAUCCUGUUACCAUCCCCUGUGGACACAGUUACUGCAUGGAGUGCAUUGAUUACCACUGGAAACAACCUGAGCAGCGAAAUGCCAUCAGCUGCCCCCAGUGCCGACUCAACUUCUGUCCUAAACCCAUCUUGAGAAAAAACUUCCUCUUGGCUGAUGUUGUGGAGAAACUGAAGCAGACGGGAUUUAGCCCCGCUCUCUCUGCUCACAGUCUCACCAAGCCUGGACAUGUGCCCUGUGACUUCUGCACUGGGCGAAAACUUGGAGCGGUGAGAUCCUGUCUGACUUGCAGCGCCUCCUACUGCCAGGAGCACCUCAAACCUCACUUCACUGUCUUGCCUUUCAAGAGGCACCAGCUGGUGGAGGCCACUGGAGAUCUGGGGCAGACACUAUGCCAGCAGCACCACAGACCACUGGAGGUGUUCUGUAAGACUGACUGGAGCUUUGUGUGUCUACUGUGUGCAGCCACCAAACACAGGAGCCACUGUACAGUCACCCCUGAGGAAGAGCGAGACAGCAAACAGGCAGUGGAGCUGCACUCGUGUGUGUGGUGGAAGGAAGGCAUGCAGCUGGCCAAGCAGCUGUACGACAUGCUCAAGGCCUGGAUUCCCAAGCGAGAGGCCUCUGCCAGCCAGCUGAGGUACAUUGCCCAGCAGCUGGAAAGGCUGAGACGAGAAGCAAACUACAGCCGCAAAGUGAGGGGUCUGGCCGCUGUGGGGGCCUUUGUUUCCGCAGUGUGCACUGCAGGCCUGGGUGCGCCACUGCUGGGUGCAGUGGCUGGAAGCGUAGCAGUCACGACGGCUAUGACGGCCAUAUGGGGCAUGGCGCAGAGAGUAGAGAGCUUCAAGACCAGCGACUGCAUGAAGACCGCCUUGAAGAUCACGGAGACUGACAAGGAGGCUGCCAAAGAGGUGGUCGGGCUGAUGAAGGAGCUGGACAAGAUGGCCGAAAGGAUCGCAUCCUCUCAAAGGUGUGUCGACAGCCCAGAACCGCUCAGGAAGGAGCACAUCUUCACAAGAUUAGUCUCCGCAGGGCUGUUCGCUGGUACAACCCUCCUGACUGAGCGAAACGUGAACAAGAUGGCCUUCCUGAUGAGCAAGCUGGCAAAGAACAUGAGGGCCAUCGUUGUGACUGGCAAGACAGCGGCCUGUGGACCCAGGUUGGUCUUCUCGAUAGUUGGGCUGGAAUUUGACAUCACAGUCUUGGUCAACGCUGCCCUGGAACAGGCCACGAAACAAGGGAAUGAGGCCUCCAACAUGUUAAGACAAGCGGCAGACCAAAUUGAAGAAAGUCUGAAAGAGCUCAAGAACACCCUGGUGAAAUUGAGUUAGGUGUGACGCUGUUUGGAACACCCUGGUGAAAUUGAGUUAGGUGUGAUGCUGUUUGGUACACCCUGGUGAAAUUGAGUUAGGUGUGACGCUGUUUGGAACACCCUGGUGAAAUUGAGUUAGGUGUGAUGCUGUUUGGUACACCCUGGUGAAAUUGAGUAAGCUGUGAUGCUGUUUGGAACACCCUGGUGAAAUUGAGUUAGGUGUGAUGCUGUUUGCAACACAGAGAUUGUUUGGAUUUCAAAUCAUUCUGAGCAUGGAGGAGCAAAUAUUGAACACUUAUUAUGUGAUUUUCAGAGAUGGGGCAUAGAGGCGCCCCCUAGUGACAACAAUUAAUAACUGUGGUAUUUAUGUAAACAGAAAACCACAAAAUGGAUUCAUAUUUCAUUUUGCUUUUUUUUCCAAUAAAUAAGAAUAAUUUCCACCAUUGAUA